This 502-nucleotide ribosomal RNA is filed under the name uncultured bacterium. RNAcentral's name for it is "partial 16S ribosomal RNA". It matches the Rfam family "Bacterial small subunit ribosomal RNA", at positions 30 to 523 of the family's 1533-position model. The record is from RNAcentral.
AUUGAACGCUGGCGGCAUGCCUUACACAUGCAAGUCGAACGGCAGCACGGGAGCUUGCUCCUGGUGGCGAGUGGCGAACGGGUGAGUAAUACAUCGGAACGUACCCAGGAGUGGGGGAUAACGUAGCGAAAGUUACGCUAAUACCGCAUAUUCUGUGAGCAGGAAAGCGGGGGAUCGCAAGACCUCGCGCUCUUGGAGCGGCCGAUGUCGGAUUAGCUAGUUGGUGAGGUAAAAGCUCACCAAGGCGACGAUCCGUAGCAGGUCUGAGAGGAUGAUCUGCCACAAUGGGACUGAGACACGGCCCAGACUACUACGGGAGGCAGCAGUGGGGAAUUUUGGACAAUGAGGGCAACCCUGAUCCAGCCAUGCCGCGUGAGUGAAGAAGGCCUUCGGGUUGUAAAGCUCUUUCGGCGGGGAAGAAAUGGCAACGGCUAAUAUCCGGUGUUGAUGACGGUACCCGCAUAAGAAGCACCGGCUAACUACGUGCCAGCCGCCGCAGUAA